AAUAUUAAUUCCGCUUGAUCCUGGCGGACCCAACUGCUAUCGGGGUGAGAUUAAGCCAUGCGAGUUGUGCGUUUCUUGGCUAUGUUAGAGACGCAGCACACGGCUCAGUAACAUGUGGUUAACCUACCCUCAGGACAGCAACAACCCCGGGAAACUGGGGCUAAUUGCUGAUAGAUGAGGAAGUCUGGAAUGACUCUUCGUUUAAAGGGUAUUGAUGACAUGCCUUUCAGUAUUGCCUGAGGAUGGGACCGCACCCGAUCAGGUUGUUGGUGAGGUAACGGCUCACCAAGCCUAUAACCGGUACGGGCCGUGAGAGCGG
This 319-nucleotide ribosomal RNA is filed under the name Candidatus Bathyarchaeota archaeon. RNAcentral describes it as "bacterial SSU rRNA". It matches the Rfam family "Archaeal small subunit ribosomal RNA", at positions 1 to 285 of the family's 1478-position model. Lineage: Archaea; Thermoproteati; Candidatus Bathyarchaeota. The record is from RNAcentral.